AACCUUUACACUGCACGACAGUGCGAUAGGGGAAUCCCAAGUGCGUAGGCAUAGAGCCUACGCUUUUGUCCACCGUAGGGAGGUGGACGAAUAAGGGCUGGGCAAGACCGGUGCCAGCCGCCGCGGUAAUACCGGCAGCCCGAGUGAUGGCCGAUCUUAUUGGGCCUAAAGCGUCCGUAGCUGGCCGCGCAAGUCUAUCGGAAAAUCCACCCGCUCAACGGGUGGGCGUCCGGUAGAAACUGCGUGGCUUGGGACCGGAAGGCGCGACGGGUACGUCCGGGGUAGGGGUGAAAUCCCGUAAUCCUGGACGGACCGCCGAUGGCGAAAGCACGUCGCGAAGACGGGUCCGACAGUGAGGGACGAAAGCUAGGGUCUCGAACCGGAUUAGACACCCGGGUAGUCCUAGCCGUAAACAAUGCCUGCUAGGUGUGGCUCCCACUACGAGUGGGUGCUGUGCCGUAGGGAAGCCGCUAAGCAGGCCGCCUGGGAAGUACGUCCGCAAGGAUGAAACUUAA
This 515-nucleotide ribosomal RNA is filed under the name uncultured archaeon. RNAcentral's name for it is "bacterial SSU rRNA". It matches the Rfam family "Archaeal small subunit ribosomal RNA", at positions 345 to 859 of the family's 1478-position model. The record is from RNAcentral.